Long non-coding RNA from Helianthus annuus (common sunflower), 382 nucleotides. RefSeq lists it as uncharacterized. The transcript has 3 exons. The record is from RefSeq and is a predicted model, not a curated record. Lineage: Eukaryota; Viridiplantae; Streptophyta; Magnoliopsida; Asterales; Asteraceae.
UCGCACAAACCACAGGAGCCAAGAAGAGCUCUCAAGCUCAAACCCUAAUCAACAUAAUUUCAUCAAAUUGAAGGGGCAAAUCAAGUACAAAUCGAAAUCUAAGCUCAAAUAAGUGAUCACCUCCAUGAAGGGAUCAUAAGGAAAGGGAGUCGAAUCCUAAAGCGGACAAGCCGGAGUGGAUACACGCUUGAAAGGAAAGCUCUAAAGGUGCUAGUAGUGUGCUUCCGAGUGAUGAUCAAGCAAAUAUCAAGAACCGAACACAAGUCUUUUGAAGCUUCCGCAAUGAUAUCAUUUUGUUUUGGUUAAAUAUGAAACAUGUAAACACAUGAUGUUACAUUUUGAAUGUUUUAAACUAGUAUGGAUGUUAACUUGAAUACUUUAA